GAUGAACGCUGGCGGCGUGCCUAAUACAUGCCAGUCGAGCGAACAGACGAGGAGCUUGCUCCUCUGACGUUAGCGGCGGACGGGUGAGUAACACGUGGAUAACCUACCUAUAAGACUGGGAUAACUUCGGGAAACCGGAGCUAAUACCGGAUAAUAUAUUGAACCGCAUGGUUCAAUAGUGAAAGACGGUUUUGCUGUCACUUAUAGAUGGAUCCGCGCCGCAUUAGCUAGUUGGUAAGGUAACGGCUUACCAAGGCGACGAUGCGUAGCCGACCUGAGAGGGUGAUCGGCCACACUGGAACUGAGACACGGUCCAGACUCCUACGGGAGGCAGCAGUAGGGAAUCUUCCGUAAUGGGCGAAAGCCUGACGGAGCAACGCCGCGUGAGUGAUGAAGGUCUUCGGAUCGUAAAACUCUGUUAUUAGGGAAGAACAAAUGUGUAAGUAACUAUGCACGUCUUGACGGUACCUAAUCAGAAAGCCACGGCUAACUACGUG
This 497-nucleotide ribosomal RNA is filed under the name uncultured bacterium. RNAcentral describes it as "partial 16S ribosomal RNA". It matches the Rfam family "Bacterial small subunit ribosomal RNA", at positions 28 to 507 of the family's 1533-position model. The record is from RNAcentral.